UUUUUUUUGAGAUGGAGUCUCACUCUGUCGCCUAGGGUGGAGUGCAGUGGCAUGAUCUCGGCUCACUGCAAGCUCUGCCUCUCAGGUUUAUGCCAUUCUCCUGCCUCAGCCUCCUGAGUAGCUGGAACUACAGGUGCCCGCCACCACGCCUGGCUAAUUUUUUAUAUUUUUUAGUAGAGACAGUGUUUCACCGUGUUAGUCAGGAUGGUCUCGAUCUUCUGACAUCGUGAUCCACCCGCCUCGGCCUCCCAAAGUGCUAGGAUUACAGGCGUGAGUCACUGCACUCAGCCAGGUUUUCAGGUGCUGGUUCCAUGGCUCUUCCUGAGCCGAAAAUAAGGAAACUCCAUAGACCUUGUCCACUGGAACUCGUUCCCAUCUACCCUCCACUCUAUCCAGCCCCAUGAGGACAAGGAACAUGAUUGGUUUUGCUCACUGCCGUAUCUUCCGUACCUAGUACGUAACAGGACAUCAAUAAAUAUUAGUUGAAUGGAAGAUUAAAUCAACAAAAUGGGUGAUGGAUCUCUGCAGUAAGUGGAAGAGUUCUUCAUGGCCCCCAAGGUUAUAUCCAUCUAGAACUUCAGCACGUAAUUUCAUCUGGAAAUAGUGCCUUUGCGGAUAUAAGUUAGGUAAAACUGAAGAUGAGAUCAUACUGGAUUAGGAUGGGAUCUAAAUCCAAUGAAAAUGUCUUCAUAAAAAACAGGAAAGAACCCAUAGAAACACAAGGAAGAAGGUCAUGUGAAGAUGGAGGCAGAGAUUGGAGGGAUGCAGCCACCGGCCCAGGAAUGCCAGCAGCCACCCAGAAGCUGGAAGGAAAUGAGGGAUUCUCUCCUAGAACCUUUAGAGAGAACAUGGUCCUGUGAACAGCUUGAUUUUGGACUUGCCCAUAGCUUGUAUACUCUUACUUUGGAUACAAUUUUAUCCAAACUUGGCUAAACAGUUUCUCAGCCUAUGGAAAAUUUAAAAUGGAGAAGAUUCAACUCGAUUCUUACAGAUUCAAAGCAAGAAAAUGAUGGGAACAUAGGAGGAGACCAAGAAAGCCUAUAAAAAGCAAAAAUAUGAAGUGAACAUUGUGGUAGCUUUAAGAUGUUUAGUGUAGCUGCAGGCACCCUAUACACAUGAAAACCCCCAAGGGGAAUCCCCAUAUCACAGUGUAGUGUGAUAUUUGACAUUCGUGAUCAUCUAGAGAUGUACAGAAAAGGUGAAUCUGUGUUCUGUAUAUUCUGCCUAAGGCAAAGAAAUGUUUAGCUCUCUUUAAAAUAGUUCCAUAAUUUUUUCUAAAAAGCUUUGCUUGAAAACUGUAAGCUUCCCAUAUCUGGAGCAUUUCACUUUAAAUAUUUGGAUAAAUAUGUUAUCUUCUUACUUGGACAUUUCAUGUGUUUAGGGAUUGUCUUCUAAAUUCUUCCUAAUUCAUAUAGCUGCUAACACUUCCCGCAGAGCUAAACCAUUACAGAUAUGAAAUAAAGACCUAUUGAUUUGACUUACUUUUACUUGUAAAACCUUCUGAGUGUUAUAACCUCAUUUAAUCUUUCAGCAUUUACAGUUUCAAGAGUUUGUGUCACAAUUAGAAGAAUUCAGCUGCACCUCCAAGUGACAGCAGUUGCUCUGGUUGGUGGGUGAUCUCAGGAGGCUUGAGAAUUGCUUUGUCUGUGAGGGAAGUAAGACAUUUUCAGAGCCCCACUUUAGAAGGUGUGAACUGGCUAGAUAAUGAACCCCAGGGCUAACGCUGCUAUAGCAGUGGGAAGGAGGUGAUGGGUUUUCAGUUUGGACCUCAAACAUCAAUACCCUCCUGGUACGGGGAGGAACAGAGUCCCUCCUUUACUUCUCCAUUAGAAAGAAUGAGAUGGCAAGACAAUGAAACAGGCAAAGUGAACAGAGAUGCAAGACAAAAUUCAGGUGAGAGAGCCAGAGCAUCACUCAGCCAUUCCUGACAUGUAAAACAGGCAACUAGAAAUUUGCAGAAAGGAAGCGAAGUCUCCAUAAAGAUGUUUUUAAAGUGAGCUUGAAGUAUUUGGAGACAAUUCAGUGUUACAUAAAAUCUGCAAAUCUCUGGAUAAAGAAGCAGAGAUCCCAGCAUGGGACAAAUGGAGCCUCAAAAGUGGGAAGAAGACAGAGAAGACCAGGGCAGAAUGCAUCUCUUCCUUUCUCUUGGCUUUCCUGGAUAAGGACUGCAUCAUUCCUGUGGAAGGACAGGCCAUCAGCUCCGAAACACUGUAUGUAUUUUCCAGUAUAUACUGCUAGCUGUGUGAUGUUGGGAAAAUUUGUUACCCUGUCUAACCCCCACUUCCCUCAUCUGUAAAAUGGAAAUAAUGAUAGUACCUACCUAUCUCAUAGGUGGCAACUACAAGGGGCAGCACACUCAGGGAAUUAAGGAAGUUUCAGUGAACAUCAACUUUAUGAACACAGUGUUCAUAAAGGCAGGUCAGUGCAGUGGUUUGGGAGCCAGGAGAAGCACGUGGGCCGGAGUGUGCCUGCAGGAGACAAGGUCAGAGAUGUUGCUAAUAAUGGAGAAUAAAGGAUGC
RNAcentral lists this long non-coding RNA (2519 nucleotides) under Homo sapiens (human). RNAcentral's name for it is "HSALNT0387264". Lineage: Eukaryota; Metazoa; Chordata; Mammalia; Primates; Hominidae. The record is from RNAcentral.